RNAcentral lists this ribosomal RNA (236 nucleotides) under Enterobacter sp. HN503E2II. RNAcentral's name for it is "partial 23S ribosomal RNA". It matches the Rfam family "Bacterial large subunit ribosomal RNA", at positions 2693 to 2925 of the family's 2925-position model. The record is from RNAcentral. Lineage: Bacteria; Pseudomonadati; Pseudomonadota; Gammaproteobacteria; Enterobacterales; Enterobacteriaceae.
CGGAGUGGACGCAUCACUGGUGUUCGGGUUGUCAUGCCAAUGGCACUGCCCGGUAGCUAAAUGCGGAAAAGAUAAGUGCUGAAAGCAUCUAAGCACGAAACUUGCCCCAAGAUGAGUUCUCCCUGACUCCUUGAGAGUCCUGAAGGAACGUUGAAGACGACGACGUUGAUAGGUCGGGUGUGUAAGCGCAGCGAUGCGUUGAGCUAACCGAUACUAAUGAACCGUGAGGCUUAACC